Long non-coding RNA from Salmo salar (Atlantic salmon), 801 nucleotides. RefSeq lists it as uncharacterized. Lineage: Eukaryota; Metazoa; Chordata; Actinopteri; Salmoniformes; Salmonidae. The record is from RefSeq and is a predicted model, not a curated record.
CUUCAUUAACGGCUGCAGUUGCAUCAUUGUUUCCUUUAUUUGUUAUCUCUGUAAAGCCAAUGAUUCAGUAACAGGCUAUAUUUGGGUGUUUUCUUCCUUAUAAAUAUGUGGUCUUUAAUAGUGAUGGAUGAAGUAGGCCGUAUGUAAAGCCUUUUUAUAAAUAUUAGCGUUUAUUUGUGGGUUUUCUAUUGCAACAAAUGAUCCUAUCUCAAGGUCGUGAUUUGCAUCCGGUUUGUGUUGGACAUCGGUUUCUAAAUAGGCAGACAAGGUCCUACCUUCAUACAAAGCUGAAGGCAGCAGCGUCAGAACCUGACGACUACAGGGAGCAGGCUCAGAUCUGGGUCACACUGCCACCAGCACAAACCAGGAACAUACUGGAGCUUUUACACAUCUUCAUCUCCACCAAGGCUCCCAUGGAGGCAUAGAGAAACCUGAAGCCAAGAGGCACAGAGCUGCAUCCGAGCACCUGUCAUUCACACCCCCAUUGGUUCAUGUUCAUGUUCUGUUUUCAACCUCUCUCUCAUAUUCUCUCCUCUCAUCAUGCCUCUCUAUAUCUGCCAUUAGGUGUUACUCUACCAUAUAAUAUGCACAUGUACUGUAUACCUUACUUACCAUUUAGUAGACAGUUUGUGUUGUUCAUACUGCAGAGUUUGUGGGUGUAUCUCAGGCAGCCACUGCAGUGACAAGGGCACUGGAUCAACCUUUGACAAUAACAAAGACAUUUCCAAAUACAAUACAACACAAUAGUGCAACAACAAAAAAGCUAAACGUAUCCAUUAAAACAAUACGCUUGAAUUCUCA